CUCGUAGGCGGUCUGUUGCGUCAGGAGUGAAAACUCGGGGCUUAACCCCGAGCCUGCUUCUGAUACGGGCAGACUAGAGGUAUGCAGGGGAGAGCGGAAUUCCUGGUGUAGCGGUGAAAUGCGCAGAUAUCAGGAGGAACACCGGUGGCGAAGGCGGUUCUCUGGGCAUUACCUGACGCUGAGGAGCGAAAGUGUGGGGAGCGAACA
RNAcentral lists this ribosomal RNA (207 nucleotides) under uncultured bacterium. Its description in RNAcentral is "partial 16S ribosomal RNA". It matches the Rfam family "Bacterial small subunit ribosomal RNA", at positions 568 to 774 of the family's 1533-position model. The record is from RNAcentral.